RNAcentral lists this small RNA (95 nucleotides) under Pedobacter sp. AK013. Its description in RNAcentral is "Flavo-1 RNA". It matches the Rfam family "Flavo-1 RNA". Lineage: Bacteria; Pseudomonadati; Bacteroidota; Sphingobacteriia; Sphingobacteriales; Sphingobacteriaceae. The record is from RNAcentral.
AAAUAGCCCUGGUGGAAACGGAAAUACUUUUUGGUUCCGUUGUAUUGUAUUUUAGAAUUUUCCCAAAAAGAUUGGAGUGAACAGCAGGAACAACC